Long non-coding RNA from Scylla paramamosain (green mud crab), 2047 nucleotides. RefSeq lists it as uncharacterized. The transcript has 4 exons. The record is from RefSeq and is a predicted model, not a curated record. NCBI's taxonomy places the organism in Eukaryota, Metazoa, Arthropoda, Malacostraca, Decapoda, Portunidae.
AUAAGCCCCAAACAGAUCUUCGUGACACAGCGGAUCGGACCCUCGUCCCAUCCGGUAUGAAAACUCUCACGCUGGUCAUUGGGGGCUGCGGUUCCCUGACGCUGCUGUCGCUGCUCCUGCUGCAGAUCAGGGGAGCUCCGCAUUUCAUGACACCUGUGGAGAAGUGCUUAAACCAUGGCAGAGGAAUAGAAAAGACGCUCAACUCCUGUGGGGUGUGCCCAUAACCCUUCUGCUAAAACGGGGAGUGGUAGUAGGCUGAGGCGUGGAGGUGCAGGCAAGCAAGGCGUCAAGAGCGAGAGGAAGGUGGUCCGAGAUUCAUCCACAUCUGUUCUGUCCCGAGUGACGCAUGACCCCCCACGAAUACAUUAUUGGACCUCAGUCGAACGGGAGUGAGCGGUUCAAGAUCCAGGACCGACUCCAGUGAAGCAAUCAAGUGCGCCACAGGUGGAGGCGCUGGUACUACUUCUGCUGUAGCUGCCGCUGCCGAGUCGAGGACAGCUGCUGAAUCUUCUCAUGGAGCCAGUUAAGGAAUAUAUAAGCAACUCUGAGUCUAUAUUUCUUGAAACUCAAGAACCUAGCAGGCCGUAUGUUGUGGUGCUGACGCGAUGAUGCGGAUACGCAGAAGGCCGACUCGUUAGCAUUUUCGCAGCUCAAGGAUUUCGCACGACAUCGGAACCGAGCUACAGCAGUGAGGACAGCUGACAGCCCAUGUGUGCCAACCGAAGCAUCCCCAGUGGAUGGUGAUCGCCCAGCUAGAGAAUCCAGGACCAUGGGUACUCGGCCAUCAAGACAACAGCAGGCUGCCCUUGAGAAAAGAGCUUCAUGGAAGCGGAUCCCAACGGAGCAGAACAAAUAAUUCAUUAUCAGUUAGCCGAAUAACUUCCUCUUCUAUGCAUUUACAGAGUCACAACUGAUGACAUUUUUCCUUUUGCCAGUUUAGACAAUAAUGAACUUACUUGUUUCUUAAAUAAUACUGUACCACACCAUUUUUCCUUCCAUAUUAUUAACGAUAUGAUAUACAAUCCUUAGAAACAUUAUGAUAAUGAUAUGUUUAAGAAUUGUCUUUUUGAUCACAACUUCUUCGAAUCCAAUUGUAAUUACUUUUUUGUGAUUAUCUAAAUGUGAUAUUUAGUGAACACAAUAUGUCUUUAAAUUUAUUUGUUGUCAAUAUUUCCAGUAUUCCCCUCCACCUAGAGAGUUGUAUCGAACAAUGUAUAAAACGUAAGUAAUGCAAAAUAUAAUGUAAUAUGCUUCGGUGAAACUCGCCUCAUUGAUGCUACUUCCAGUCUUUACUCCAAUGAGAGAUUCAACUCCAUUUUAAUAAUAAAAACAGACACAGUGGUGGCAUCGUUAUUUUUACAAGUAAUAGUUUUAAAACUAAAGUCCGAACAGUAGACAAUUUAUUAUUGCAGUUACCACACAUAGAAUCUCUGUAUUUAGAAAUUACCUGGCCACGUCAUUUCAUAGUAGGCAUGAUCUACAGAUCCCCAAAUAGUAGCGCUCACAAUUUUUUGUAUCUAUUCUGGAUAUUAUAUCUAUUGUUUCCUGCUCCAGAACACCUAUUUAUAUGAUGGGAGACUUCAGUAUUAAUAUUUUGAGUUAUGAUGAAAAAAGUGCCCAAGAUUUGGUGAAUAUAUUCCACAGUUUCUCUUUUUUCUCUACUAUUAAUAAGCCAAGAGGAGUCACUAAAAAGUAGCUAAAAAGUAGCUAAAAGUAGCUAAACAAGUAGCUAUUCACCACCUCUGUCAGGGUAUUAUAACGUACUUGAAAACAAGCUAUUUCUUUUGCGAUCUAACCAAGGCAUUUACUACCAUCUGCCACAACAUCUUAUUAGAAGAACUCUCUGUUUACGGAAUACGCGGCACUCCUCACAAGUGGUUCAAGAGUUAUCUCAGUAAUCGGAAAGACUCCACUUUUUUCAACAAUGUGUCCUCCCCAUACAGCAAUAUUACAUGUGAUGUUCCUCACUGAUCUGUUCUUGGCCCGGUUCUUUUCCUAUUAUACAUUAAUGAUAUUGUUCGAUCCAACAAUAAACUUAAAUUCCUGC